AGGAUCAUUAUUGAAAUAAAUCUGAUGGGUUGUUGCUGGUUCUCUAGGGAGCAUGUGCACGCCUUGUCAUCUUUAUAUCUCCACCUGUGCACCUUUUGUAGACCUUUCAGGUCUAUGUUGCUUCAUUUACCCCAAUGUAUGUUAAUAGAAUGUUGUGCCUAUAAAAUAUAUACAACUUUCAGCAACGGAUCUCUUGGCUCUCGCAUCGAUGAAGAACGCAGCGAAAUGCGAUAAGUAAUGUGAAUUGCAGAAUUCAGUGAAUCAUCGAAUCUUUGAACGCACCUUGCGCUCCUUGGUAUUCCGAGGAGCAUGCCUGUUUGAGUGUCAUUAAUAUAUACAUCAACCCUUCACUUGUUGAGUGGUUUGGAUGUGGGGGUUUUUGCUGGCCUUUUAAAAGGUUCAGCUCUCCUGAAAUGCAUUAGCAGGACCAACCUUGUUCAUUGGUGUGAUAAACUAUCUACGCUAUUGAAAAUGAGGGGGCAGUCCAGCUUUAUAAUCGUCCUUGGACAAUUCAUCAUUAAUGUGACCUCAAAUCAGGUAGGACUACCCGCUGAACUUAAGCAUAUCAAUAAGCGGAGGAAAAGAAACUAACAAGGAUUCCCCUAGUAACUGCGAGUGAAGCGGGAAAAGCUCAAAUUUAAAAUCUGGCGGUCUUUUGGCUGUCCGAGUUGUAAUCUAGAGAAGUGUUAUCCGCGCUGGACCGUGUACAAGUCUCCUGGAAUGGAGCAUCAUAGAGGGUGAGAAUCCCGUCUUUGACAUGGACUGCCAGGGCUUUGUGAUGCGCUCUCAAAGAGUCGAGU
This 800-nucleotide ribosomal RNA is filed under the name uncultured Cortinarius. RNAcentral's name for it is "eukaryotic LSU rRNA". The stretch from base 524 to 800 matches the Rfam family "Eukaryotic large subunit ribosomal RNA", at positions 1 to 270 of the family's 3401-position model. Lineage: Eukaryota; Fungi; Basidiomycota; Agaricomycetes; Agaricales; Cortinariaceae. The record is from RNAcentral.